This 1150-nucleotide long non-coding RNA is filed under the name Volvox carteri. RNAcentral's name for it is "long non-coding RNA (VCAR_LNC003543)". Lineage: Eukaryota; Viridiplantae; Chlorophyta; Chlorophyceae; Chlamydomonadales; Volvocaceae. The record is from RNAcentral.
ACGUACCGAUGGCGGUUUUACGUUCUCGACACGCGGACAUACUUCAUGAUGCAGUGUGCGCAGUAUCGGGAAGUUUUGUACGUGUGAAAGGCCACCCAGCCCUAACCUGGCCGCAUAUCGUAAUUAUGCGUCUAUGUAUCCCAUUCAAUCCGCCCUCGGCCCCUACAUACACACAGAUGGAGGACAUUUCAUGUAUGAUGACGCGUGCGACGCUGUGUCGUAUAUUGAUCGAACGUAAUUUGUAAAAAUGCACGCCGUCGUGAUUUGUCAGCAGGUAGUUGUUUACAACCACUGUACGGAGGGUAGGCCUGGAUGGAUCUGGAUCUGGCACCCAUCUAAAAUUUAGCUGCAUGGAUGACCACCUAUCUACCUACUUAACACUGCUUGUCUCGUUCCAGGUAGAUGGCUAGGUAGGGGUGUCGUCUAACUGGGCGUUGUUCGGUAGCGAUGACGUUACCCGGGGACGUAUACCGAAGGGUCAGUAGUACGCCAAAGCAUCACUCAUACGGCAGCAGGGCCUGUUGUAUUGCCACUUCAUUCGAAAUGCAAGGCAACCUACAGGGCGUCUACAUACAUAAAUCCGCAACCAGCUCUUGACCGGUUGAAAUUGGCUGUUAAACUUACUAAACAGCUGUCACACAUUCAAUAGUGUAAUCAGCUGUUUUUGAAGUGGGUUGCCGGUAAGACGGACUGGUCGUGGCUGUGUUCUGCAGCGUCUGCCUCGGCUGGGGCCAAUGGCGGCGGCGGGCCUUCAAGCUCCUCAGACGUUCCAUCACCCGAAUGCACCUACCCGAAGCUCUGAAAGAUUUCAUUUACGAGAUGGCCCAGGGGCAGUUACGCAUCUUUGCCUUAGACUAUAUUUAGUUCAAUAGCUAGCUUGUGUUGGCGGUACUGGACCGUAGAGAACGGAUCUUGGCAGCGGAAGUCAUCUAAGUACGUUUUUCCUGGAGGCAACGCCCUGUACUAGGCGACCGGGGCAUAUGCAUCCGAUCCCAUCAAACAACAAUCAUACGCGGAAGGUCCGCCUAUGUCGAGCUUCGCGGGCGCGGCUGUUGUAAUGGGGUAAUGGGUGUUCGUCUAAAUACACGCCAGCAGCCCGUAAAGGUGGCUUAGGCCGCCUCAUUAGAAGGUUCUGGGGGUCUAUCUUCUU